CAUCAUCACCAUCACCAUCAUCAUCAUCAUCAUCAUCAUCACCACCAUCUUCAUCUGCUUCCUCUUUCUCAUCAGUCAGACCUUCACCGUUCACAGGCGUUUCCAGAUCUUCUACAUCACUGGCGUGUCUAAACACAUCAGCAGGCUCUUCUCUGAUCCUCCCUCCGGUUCUGGUUCUUCUGGUUCUGAUCAUCGCUGGACUCUUAUUACUGUUUCUCUGUAAGAAGCAUCAGUCUCGAGGUGGUGAUUCAUCAUCUCAGACUGGACCAGGAAAACAUGAAGUGGUUUCUAACACUGGUUGUGAUUAUGAGGAGAUUAAAGACACUCACAAACAAUUACCCACAAGCCCCUCUGAUUCUUCUGACAUUGUUUAUGCCACUGCCCAAUUACCCACAAACCCCUCUGUUUCCUCUAACUGUAUUUACGCUACAGUUGAGAAAGUCUCUGGAGACUCUCAGUGCCGCAUCUCAUCUGCUGAGGAUCUGAAUUACGCAGUGGUUUAUUUCCACAAGAGAUCAGACUGUCCUGACAGUGUCAGUUUCAGGAAUAAUCAGGAUUACAGUGAAUACGCUGCUGUCAAUCAUUUCACUGCUUGAAGAGCCACAGCAGAGAAUAUAAAUGAGAUGAAUGUUUUUAUCAUCUUGUCUUUGGCGUUAAAGGUUUAGUUCACCCAGAAAUGAAAAUUCUGUCAUUUAUU
Megalobrama amblycephala (Wuchang bream) is the source of this 697-nucleotide long non-coding RNA. RefSeq lists it as uncharacterized. The transcript has 4 exons. The record is from RefSeq and is a predicted model, not a curated record. NCBI's taxonomy places the organism in Eukaryota, Metazoa, Chordata, Actinopteri, Cypriniformes, Xenocyprididae.